This 467-nucleotide ribosomal RNA is filed under the name Bryaninops cf. yongei NMBE 1066540. RNAcentral describes it as "partial 12S ribosomal RNA". It matches the Rfam family "Bacterial small subunit ribosomal RNA", at positions 868 to 1527 of the family's 1533-position model. Lineage: Eukaryota; Metazoa; Chordata; Actinopteri; Gobiiformes; Gobiidae. The record is from RNAcentral.
UUCGCCAGGGAACUACGAGCCCCAGCUUAAAACCCAAAGGACUUGGCGGUGCUUUAGACCCCCCUAGAGGAGCCUGUUCUAUAACCGAUACUCCCCGUUCAACCUCACCCCCUCUUGUUCUCCCCGCCUAUAUACCGCCGUCGUCAGCUCACCCUGUGAAGGAUGAAUAGUAAGCAAAACUGGCAAAGCCUAAAACGUCAGGUCGAGGUGUAGCGUAUGAGGGGGGAAGAAAUGGGCUACAUUUUCUGACUCAGCAAACACGAAAGUUGUAAUGAAAAAGCAUAUGAAGGUGGAUUUAGUAGUAAGGUGGGAACAGAGAGCCCACCUGAAAACGGCCCUGAAGCGCGCACACACCGCCCGUCACUCUCCCCAAAAACAGCACCCUAUACAUAAUUUCAUUAGACAUAUAAAAGAGGGGAGGCAAGUCGUAACAUGGUAAGUGUACCGGAAGGUGUACUUGGACAAAC